GACGAACGCUGGCGGCGUGCUUAACACAUGCAAGUCGAGCGGUAAGGCCCUUUCGGGGGUACACGAGCGGCGAACGGGUGAGUAACACGUGGGUGACCUGCCCUCAGCUCUGGGAUAAGCCUGGGAAACCGGGUCUAAUACCGGAUAUGACUCCAUGACGCAUGUUGUGGGGUGGAAAGCCUUGUGCGGCUGAGGAUGGGCCCGCGGCCUAUCAGCUUGUUGGUGGGGUGAUGGCCUACCAAGGCGACGACGGGUAGCCGGCCUGGGAGGGCGACCGGCCACACUGGGACUGAGACACGGCCCAGACUCCUACGGGAGGCAGCAGUGGGGAAUCUUGCGCAAUGGGCGAAAGCCUGACGCAGCGACGCCGCGUGAGGGAUGACGGCCUGGU
This 391-nucleotide ribosomal RNA is filed under the name uncultured bacterium. Its description in RNAcentral is "bacterial SSU rRNA". It matches the Rfam family "Bacterial small subunit ribosomal RNA", at positions 28 to 420 of the family's 1533-position model. The record is from RNAcentral.